UAAAUAUGUGUAUAUAUAAAUAUGUGUAUAUAUAAAUAUGUGUUUAUUGUUUUUAUAAUUUAUAGAAUAAAGCUAAUUUCCCUAUACUAGAACCCGAUAACUAUUCACAUGAAGAAUUACAUUAUGAUAUGCCGGCUUGGAUUGAAGAUAUGAUUAUAUUGUCAAACAAAAGUAAAGGCACUUUAGAGUCGUUAGGUUUAGAAAACCUACCAGAUUUCAACGAAUGCAAAAAGAUUAGCAAUUUUCAGGAACAAAUUCUAUGCAUAGUUGAAGCACUUGAAGACAUUAAGGACACUUACCAAAAUGCUAAAGACAUAACUUCACUAACAGCAAGAGUUUUGGCUGGAGGAAGACUAGCCGUACGGGCUUUAUCAAGACUGCAAACUUUGGCCUCAACCAUUGAUAACAAACAGCUAAUGAAAAAAAUAGGAACACCAAUGGCUACACUGAUAUUACUGCAAAGAGAAACUACAUCAGAUAGAACCAGGUGGUUAUGUGGAUCUAUUUUAACUCUGUUAACUGAUUUACCAGUAGUAUCAGACAUAGCGGAUGUAAAUACAGGGUCGUAUGGUCACGUAAACGUCAUCAUGCCCAGACAGUCUAGAAUUAGAAAUCCUGAUAGAACAAUUUUGAGGCUAAGAGAAGGUGUUUCACCUUCAGAUCUAAUAAAUGGAUAUACAUCAAGUUAAAAAAAAGAAAAAAAAAAAAAGACCUACUUUGAAAAAUAAGUAUACAUUCCUCUUUCACUUACAUAUUU
This 757-nucleotide long non-coding RNA is filed under the name Piliocolobus tephrosceles (Ugandan red Colobus). RNAcentral's name for it is "lncRNA (ENSPTEG00000021028.1)". Lineage: Eukaryota; Metazoa; Chordata; Mammalia; Primates; Cercopithecidae. The record is from RNAcentral.